AAAAUUUACUAAGAGAAAAGGAAGGAUAUGAUGGCACAAAAAAGAUACACGUAGUUUUCCCCUUUUGUUUAGAAAGGGCUAAAAGGAAGUCGAGUGGAAAAUGUUAAGAUGCAAAGAAGAUUUAACAAUACAUUUAUCUCCUUCUACACUAAUAGUAAGAAACUUUCGCCGGUACACAAAGGAUA
Rhodamnia argentea is the source of this 185-nucleotide long non-coding RNA. RefSeq lists it as uncharacterized. NCBI's taxonomy places the organism in Eukaryota, Viridiplantae, Streptophyta, Magnoliopsida, Myrtales, Myrtaceae. The record is from RefSeq and is a predicted model, not a curated record. The transcript has 3 exons.